RNAcentral lists this ribosomal RNA (491 nucleotides) under uncultured bacterium. Its description in RNAcentral is "partial 16S ribosomal RNA". It matches the Rfam family "Bacterial small subunit ribosomal RNA", at positions 28 to 507 of the family's 1533-position model. The record is from RNAcentral.
GAUGAACGCUGGCUACAGGCUUAACACAUGCAAGUCGAGGGGAAACGACGGGGAAGCUUGCUUCCCCGGGCGUCGACCGGCGCACGGGUGAGUAACGCGUAUCCAACCUGCCUCUGACUGAGGGAUAACCCGUCGAAAGUCGGCCUAAUACCUCAUGGCAUCGUCUGCGGGCAUCCAACGACGAUUAAAGAUUUCAUCGGUCAGAGAUGGGGAUGCGUCUGAUUAGCUUGUUGGCGGGGUAACGGCCCACCAAGGCGACGAUCAGUAGGGGUUCUGAGAGGAAGGUCCCACACAUUGGAACUGAGACACGGUCCAAACUCCUACGGGAGGCAGCAGUGAGGAAUAUUGGUCAAUGGGCGAGAGCCUGAACCAGCCAAGUAGCGUGCAGGAUGACGGCCCUAUGGGUUGUAAACUGCUUUUAUGCGGGGAUAAAGUGAGGGACGUGUCCUUCAUUGCAGGUACCGCAUGAAUAAGGACCGGCUAAUUCCGUG